Molecule: ribosomal RNA, 399 nt
Filed under: Triticum aestivum (bread wheat)
Lineage: Eukaryota; Viridiplantae; Streptophyta; Magnoliopsida; Poales; Poaceae
Description: partial small subunit ribosomal RNA
Source: RNAcentral
AUGGCGAGUGGCGGCGGCGGAGUGAUGGCCGGGAAGAAGAGGAAGUCCGCGGAGAUGGGCCGCGUCGGAAAUGGAGGAGCGCAGAGGGAUUACUAUCCUCACUACUACGGCGGUGAGCACUACACUUUGGCACGCAGGUACAUGCAGCAGCUGCAGGCGUCGAGCGGCCAGCCGGCGCCACGCCACCAUGAUCACCACCAUGCAUGGCAGAGCAACGCCGCGGCCGUCGCUGCGCCGGCGCCGCCUGUCUUGGAGCGGGACCACCGUCGUCGAGCCCAGGCGCACGGCGGCGGCCAUGCGAGGAAGCCUCGUGUUGCGUUCGUGGACCUUGUCGACUCCGAUGAGGAGGAUGGCCGCGGCAGCGCCGAAGAAGAACUGGACCUCGAGCUCAAGCUCUAG